Molecule: ribosomal RNA, 542 nt
Filed under: uncultured archaeon
Lineage: Archaea
Description: bacterial SSU rRNA
Rfam family: Archaeal small subunit ribosomal RNA
Source: RNAcentral
CGGGGUGCAGCAGGCGCGAAAACUUUACAAUGCCGGCAACGGCGAUAAGGGAACCUCGAGUGCCAGGUUACAAAUCUGGCUGUCGUGAUGCCUAAAAAGCAUUGCAUAGCAAGGGCCGGGCAAGACCGGUGCCAGCCGCCGCGGUAACACCGGCGGCUCGAGUGGUAACCGUUAUUAUUGGGUCUAAAGGGUCUGUAGCCGGCCGGGUAAGUCUCUUGGGAAAUCUGGCAGCUUAACUGUCAGGCUUUCAGGAGAUACUGCCUGGCUCGAGGCCGGGAGAGGUGAGAGGUACUUCAGGGGUAGGGGUGAAAUCUUGUAAUCCUUGAAGGACCACCAGUGGCGAAGGCGUCUCACCAGAACGGACCUGACGGCAAGGGACGAAAGCUAGGGGCACGAACCGGAUUAGAUACCCGGGUAGUCCUAGCCGUAAACGAUACUCGCUAGGUGUCGGCCACGGUGCGACCGUGGUCGGUGCCGUAGGGAAGCCGUGAAGCGAGCCACCUGGGAAGUACGGCCGCAAGGCUGAAACUUAAAGGAAUUGG